UCCUCGUUAGUAUAGUGGUGUGUAUCCCCGCCUGUCACGCGGGAGACCAGGGGUUCGAUUCCCCGACGGGGAG
Ciona savignyi (Pacific transparent sea squirt) is the source of this 73-nucleotide non-coding RNA. NCBI's taxonomy places the organism in Eukaryota, Metazoa, Chordata, Ascidiacea, Phlebobranchia, Cionidae. The record is from Rfam.